AUGCCGCCGUCACGGCCGCCACGCCGCCGCUGCGGCCGCCGCCGGCGCUCGACCACCGCCGCUGGGACGGAUCCCUCCGCAGGCGGGAGCAGAGGGUGGCUCGCCGCCCGCCGCAGGCCGUUCAAGCGGCACGGGCCCGAGCACGGCGACCAGGCGCUGCCCCUGGGCGAUGAAACCCUGCUCCUCGUCUUCUCCGCCCUCUCCGACGCCGGGGACCUCGUCCGCUGCGCCGCCGCCUGCAGGCGCUGGCGCCGCCUCGUCUCCUCCGACGCCGCCUUCAUCUGCCGCCGCGGGCCCCCGCGCUGCGACCGCUUCGCCCGCCGCCUCGCGGUCGGCGUUUUCCUGCACAGCGACCGCGGCCGCGGCCGCGGCCGCCCCCGCCGCGAGGGAUUCGUGCCCUUCACCAAGCCCGACCUCUCGAUCGCCGACGGCGGAGUGCCGGGCUCGUCGUCGCGCGUCGUCGCGUCCCGCAACGGCCGCGUCGUGAUGGACCUCCGCCGCGCCAAGAGCGCCUGCGUGCUGAGGCUGUGCGUGUGCGACCCCAUGACCGGCGACGCCCACCUGCUCCCGCCCCUGAGCGGCAAGGACCGCCCGGGGCCGUACGCGUGCGCCCUGCUCACCGCCGACGACGGGCUCCACCUGUACGACGCAUGCUCGGCCGGCACGGCCACGUCGACGUCCCCGUCCUCGUACCGCGUGCUCCUCCUCUACAACCACCGCAGCUACACGGCGCUCCGGCGCUACUCCUCGGACGACGGAAGCUGGGGGCCGGAGGUGGAGGUGACCGGCGCCCGGAUCGCGAGGGGGCGGCAGCUGGGCGUCAGGGCGCACGCGACGCUGGUGCGGGGCGGCGCGGUCUGCUGGUACGGGCUCGGCAUCGCCGUCAACCCCGCCACGCUGCACACGUCCAGCUUUGGCUACACCGUGCAGGCCUUCGAGUCGCCGCCGCGACGCGCCAAGGCCUCCCUCGGCGAGGUGGACCGGCUGCUGGGGCUGAUGCCGGACGGGAGGCUGUGCGUGCUGGAAUGCAAGGCCGACGCGGUGCGCGCCUACGUGGUCGUCUACGCCGACGUGGUGAGGAACGGCGGCGUGUCGGGGAGGAAGGAGUGGCGGUGGACGCUGAACGCGGAGCUGAUGGGCCUGCAGGUGGUGAGGCUGCGGUGGUUCUGCGAGAAGAGCGGCGUGGCGCUCUUCACGGCGAGGAACAGGGGCGGCAAGACGCAGGUGUACGCCGUGGACGUGGAGACGAUGCAGGUGGGCAGGGUGGACUGGUCGGGGGACGACGACCGCGACGGCGACGGGGACAUGGAGGUGUGUGGGUACGAGAUGGACCGGGUGGCCAUGCUCGCCGAGCUCGACCGCUCCGCUGAGCUCCAUCCUGCUCCUCGGCAGCUCUGA
This 1398-nucleotide ribosomal RNA is filed under the name Triticum aestivum (bread wheat). RNAcentral's name for it is "partial small subunit ribosomal RNA". The record is from RNAcentral. Lineage: Eukaryota; Viridiplantae; Streptophyta; Magnoliopsida; Poales; Poaceae.